CCAGACAGCCAGGAUGUUGGCUUAGAAGCAGCCAUCAUUUAAAGAAAGCGUAAUAGCUCACUGGUCGAGUCGGCCUGCGCGGAAGAUGUAACGGGGCUAAACCAUGCACCGAAGCUGCGGCAGCGACACUGGUGUUGUUGGGUAGGGGAGCGUUCUGUAAGCCUGUGAAGGUGUGCUGUGAGGCAUGCUGGAGGUAUCAGAAGUGCGAAUGCUGACAUAAGUAACGAUAAAGCGGGUGAAAAGCCCGCUCGCCGGAAGACCAAGGGUUCCUGUCCAACGUUAAUCGGGGCAGGGUGAGUCGACCCCUAAGGCGAGGCCGAAAGGCGUAGUCGAUGGGAAACGGGUUAAUAUUCCCGUACUUGGUGUUACUGCGAAGGGGGGACGGAGAAGGCUAUGUUGGCCGGGCGACGGUUGUCCCGGUUUAAGCGUGUAGGUGUGUGUUCCAGGUAAAUCCGGUUCACUUUAACACUGAGGCGUGAUGACGAGGCACUACGGUGCUGAAGCAACAAAUGCCCUGCUUCCAGGAAAAGCCUCUAAGCAUCAGGUAACAUCAAAUCGUACCCCAAACCGACACAGGUGGUCAGGUAGAGAAUACCAAGGCGCUUGAGAGAACUCGGGUGAAGGAACUAGGCAAAAUGGUGCCGUAACUUCGGGAGAAGGCACGCUGACACGUAGGUGAAGUGAUUUACUCAUGGAGCUGAAGUCAGUCGAAGAUACCAGCUGGCUGCAACUGUUUAUUAAAAACACAGCACUGUGCAAACACGAAAGUGGACGUAUACGGUGUGACGCCUGCCCGGU
Molecule: ribosomal RNA, 798 nt
Filed under: Salmonella enterica subsp. enterica serovar Kiambu
Lineage: Bacteria; Pseudomonadati; Pseudomonadota; Gammaproteobacteria; Enterobacterales; Enterobacteriaceae
Description: partial 23S ribosomal RNA
Rfam family: Bacterial large subunit ribosomal RNA
Source: RNAcentral